Molecule: ribosomal RNA, 497 nt
Filed under: uncultured bacterium
Lineage: Bacteria
Description: partial 16S ribosomal RNA
Rfam family: Bacterial small subunit ribosomal RNA
Source: RNAcentral
GAUGAACGCUGGCGGCGUGCCUAAUACAUGCAAGUCGAGCGAACGGACGAGAAGCUUGCUUUUCUGAUGUUAGCGGCGGACGGGUGAGUAACACGUGGAUAACCUACCUAUAAGACUGGGAUAACUUCGGGAAACCGGAGCUAAUACCGGAUAAUAUUUUGAACCGCAUGGUUCAAAAGUGAAAGACGGUCUUGCUGUCACUUAUAGAUGGAUCCGCGCUGCAUUAGCUAGUUGGUAAGGUAACGGCUUACCAAGGGAACGAUGCAUAGCCGACCUGAGAGGGUGCUCGGCCACCCUGGAACUGAGCCACGGUCCAGACUCCUACGGGAGGCAGCAGUAGGGAAUCUUCCGCAAAGGGCGAAAACCUGACGGAGCAACGCCGCGUGAGUGAUGAAGGUCUUCGGAUCGUAAAACUCUGUUAUUAGGGAAGAACAUAUGUGUAAGUAACUGUGCACAUCUUGACGGUACCUAAUCAGAAAGCCACGGCUAACUACGUG